Anopheles funestus (African malaria mosquito) is the source of this 1071-nucleotide long non-coding RNA. RefSeq lists it as uncharacterized. The record is from RefSeq and is a predicted model, not a curated record. Lineage: Eukaryota; Metazoa; Arthropoda; Insecta; Diptera; Culicidae. The transcript is spliced from 2 exons.
GGAAGAUACAAAGAGAGAGAGAGAGAAAGGGAAAAGAGAGAAACAGCGUGAAUCAAUCAAAGAUAUCCUUGGAUAUUUGUUUUUUGUUUCUGUUUGCUAUUAAGAAAAAAAUAUGCCGUUUGCUUUACUGAGGGCAUAUCGGAUCGAUCCCGCACCAUCCAAUCUCCUAUUUCUGCCCCUUACACUGAGGAUCGGGGGAUUGUUAUCAAGGAGUGUGUAACAAGAAACUUCCACUAAACAUUGGUAAUGUAAAAACCAACAGACAACAUAAGAACGCACGAUACUUAUUAAAUGCACGCGAGAUAACUCAUCGUAGUAUGCGUGUUUCCAGGGGGAGAAAAAAUACUUGCAAUUGUACCACAUACAGAUGUUUUGCUUCAAUUCUUUAAAUUCGUAUGGUGGAGUCAAAGCUAUAGCUGCUGACGUUUCAAAAUUUCGUGUUAUUUUACCGGAACAGUUAUUCGAACGUUUGGAGACAAAAUUCGAUUGUAAAAUGCCUAGGAGCGGCUCGAAAAGGCACACCUAUUUAAGCGAAAUAACAACAUCACACAAUACAGACCAAGUUGUCAGAAUGCUACAAACUCAGAAUAGGAGAUAUUUCAAUCGUAUUAUGAAGCGUCUACUACUACGUCCACCUGUCAAACGUAACCAACGCAACAGAAGUAACGGAAGGUAUGCUGUUUCAACACUGCGGGCAACAGUGAAGGAUAUUAAGAAUUGGCAGCACUUUACCCAGCGGAUACUUUUCCGGCCAUUUCCACCGUUAGCAAAAGUUUUCGGUCGAAAAUCUUACCCCCCGCAGAUGUACAGUUAGGGGAAAUAAUCAAUUAUGAGUUCCGGGGUAUAGAUAAAAAGCGUAAAGUAAGGCAUCUUCAGACGCGAACUAUAACGAAAAAGUAUGAUUAUAUGCAUCGUGGAAUAGAAAUGAAUUUUGUAACAUAACAAUCCUGGUUUGUGUCGGUAACAUUGUUUUGGAGAGUUAACGAAGAAGGGCAGUAUAGGCAGGAGGAUCCGAUGACAAAAUCAUCUCGAUGGAGUUGAACAAUAAUAAAUCCAGCUACACGAUAUCAA